GAUGGGAAGUAGGUCACCUGCUAGAGGAGCAGGGAGUUUGGGAACAGAGAUAAGCAUGCAUGCCAACUUCCAGCCUAUAGCCCUGAGUUUCCUUUCUUUCCACCCUAAAUAGGUUGGUAGCUGCAAAGCAGGAAAAGGCUGAUCCAUUAAAGAAGAGAGAGAGCGAGAGCGAGAUUCCUGUCAAUAAACCACAGUAGCCAGAGGAACCCAAGUUUAGCAUCACUCGCUCAGCCUGUUCGGGAGCCUCUAAUGGACUCCACUUCCGUGAACGCAAAGUUUCAGGAUGACAUCUGGCUGUUGGGGCUCAGGAUGAAGAGAGACAAUGAACAUGAAUCUCAAGCCGGGAUGACAAACUGGCUGUACAGGAGCCCGUGGAUGAUGGAGGCAGGCCGUUUUCCACCAGGCAGCCCCAGGCAGCCUAACAACAAAAUGCCUGCCAGCCACACGGGGGCAGAGGCCUGUCCCCUCCAUCCCAUUGUUCCUGCGGCUCGCGGAGUGCUGGC
Non-coding RNA from Oryctolagus cuniculus (rabbit), 503 nucleotides. NCBI's taxonomy places the organism in Eukaryota, Metazoa, Chordata, Mammalia, Lagomorpha, Leporidae. The record is from RefSeq and is a predicted model, not a curated record.